CCUACGGGAGGCAGCAGUGGGGAAUAUUGGACAAUGGGGGAAACCCUGAUCCAGCGACGCCGCGUGAGUGAAGAAGUAUUUCGGUACGUAAAGCUCUAUCAGAAGGAAAGAAAAUGACGGUACCUGACUAAGAAGCCCCGGCUAACUACGUGCCAGCAGCCGCGGUAAUACGUAGGGGGCAAGCGUUAACCGGAUUUACUGGGUGGAAAGGGAGCGUAGACGGCAGUGCAAGUCUGGAGUGAAAUGCGCGGGCCUAACCCCGGAACGGCACAGGAAACUGUGAGGCUGGAGUGCAGGAGAGGUAAGCGGAAUUCCAGGUGUAGCGGUGAAAUGCGUAGAUAUCAGGAGGAACACCGGCGGCGAAGGCGGCUUCCUGGACUGUAACUGACGUUGAGACACGAAGGCGUGGGGAGCAAACAGGAUUAGAUACCCCAGUAGUC
RNAcentral lists this ribosomal RNA (440 nucleotides) under uncultured bacterium. RNAcentral describes it as "partial 16S ribosomal RNA". It matches the Rfam family "Bacterial small subunit ribosomal RNA", at positions 338 to 795 of the family's 1533-position model. The record is from RNAcentral.